UUUUCAGACCAGGUGCAUGUGCUGAACACUAUUAUCAAGGAAAUAAAUUCAGAUACAGACUACAACAACAGCUUCUAUCGAAUUACUGCUUGACUGUAAAGAAGACCACAGCUGAGACCUGGGGCAAUGGAAAUGCUGUGGAUCCAGACAUUUUUUAGUCUGGGCUAUUGAUUUUUCCAUGGGGGAGGACAGGACGACCCUGCUAGGAGAGAGAAGACCGUUUUCCAUCCUCUGCAGAAGCUGACGCGAGCAUUGUUUGUACCAGCACGAGUCAUGCGAGAGCUGGGGGAACCCGAACAGGCUGAUGCCACCAGCCAGCGCCGCUCAGGCAGGGCCAUGAGACCGGGCACCGGCCGAGACCCUGCCGGUAGCGGGGCUGGAGGUCACAGGGGAAGCACUUGGUGUUCAGACCUCCUUCUUAACCCACCGUGGAGCAACCCUGCGCUUCAGGAGCAGCGCCCGAUGGGACGGCCGCUGAAGGUGUAGUUCCAUAACCAUCAAACCAUGGAAAAUGCUGGAGAGGAGACAGACUUACUGGAGGCAAGGUGGAGACAGGUCGCAGACAUGCUGGCAUUUGGAAGCUGCUGAAAGGCCGUGGGGAGGCUUCGCAGCCGAGCGGCUCUGGUCCCCCCGUGCCCUUUGGUGUGGGUUCCUGCCGCUCAUGGCCACUGAGCUUCCAGCUGUUUCCAGGGGACUGACCCUGAAGGGGGACUGCUGAGUACAGCGUAGUUGAUGCCAUUUUAUCUUCGUGUUGAAUACUUGUGAGCUGUAGUUUAUUUAAAUGAAGCCUUUAUCUGUAACAUAUCAAUUAAAGCCAUAAUGUUAUAGGAAAAGAAGGGCGGCUUGGCUGAUCCAGGGAUUAAAAUCUUUUAACGUUAUGUCCCAGAUAGUGAGUAAUGUGAUAUAAAAGGAUUCUAAUGCAUUCAACAAAGCCAAACACAGCAAGACCUGAACAAACCCCAGAGGACACCAAGACAACCAACCUAAAAUAUAGGUCAAUGUUUUCAAAUUUGGUGUAAGUUCUUUUUGUCUAAUUAAUCUAUAUCUACCAAUAUGUUAAUGAGAGGAAGAUACAGAAAGCUGACUGCCACUGAAACGUCCCCAAGGCUGAAAGAAAACAGUCUCAGCUUGUGGCUAAUUAUUUUUUUCCUUGAAAUGUAUGCCCUGAAAGAUAAGCAAACAUGGUGUUUAUUUGACCUGUGCACCUUGUACCAGACUCUUUUUCCAAAUACUGUUCUUUAAAACAGCUAUUAAAAUGACAGAAAAAGAGAAGAAAAUGCUGCUGAAAACACAGCAGCACAACAGUGAAGGAAGAGGAUGAACACGGCUUGAGAUUACAGCAGUCACUGCAUCAAGAUGUUCAUCAUCCUUGUGCGUGGCCAUGCAAGACGUGGGCUGAGUUUCCAGCCCUGCUGAUUUUCCUCAUGGGUCUCAUGACAUCUGCUGUUUUCUUCCUGAGAACCCAAGCCUGGAAGUGUGUGGCUAAAGGAUAGUCUCAGCUUUCCUUUAAGAGGUUCCUCUGCCCCAUUUUCCAAGGGAGUAAGGCAUGGCCAUGGGACCCCAGGGUGGUCUGCCAGCGGCCGUCUGCUGCCCUUGUCCAUCCUCUGGGCUCGGCUGUCCUCUCGCGCCCGCACACGUGGAGCAGCAUCGGCUGCGGCCUGGGACUGUGCCGGCACGUUGCCCCUCACACGUCAGGGUAUGGGCAUCUGUUAUCAAGUGCUGUCGUUACCUGUGCCUUGUUUACAGCUUUGCAUCCCUCACCAAGACUGCAGAAGUGGUGAUUUGAUUCUGGAAAACAUCGUGGCGUGUGAGUGGCUCCCCCCCGCCCCCAGAGGCACUUUGCUGAAGGAAGAAGGUGAAGCGGCAAAAGGGGAAAGGCUCUGAAGCUGAAGCCAGCGUUUGAAGAAGCUGAGCCUUAACAGAAGCAGUGAAUGGUAUAUCCUGGGAAACCUCUGACUGAAUGAAUGGAGAUGGGGACCAUACUGGAUUUGUCUCUGAAUAUAUUAUAAUGGCUAUGGAUGGAGCUCCUGCUUGCUCUACAGCAUCGCUGCUUUUUGACUGAAGUAAACAGGAGUUAAUCCCUGUAGCCUGUGAGCUGUCCCAUGCUGCCCAAGGCUCCCUCACCGAAGGCUUGGCAAGGCUGCUCUGCGUUUCAUGGGCACAGUGGGAGAACUCGCCACCAGCUCCUGCCCGGGGAGGUGGCACCGAGGCAGGACACAGGUAGGGCUCAAGCGGAGCAAAGAGAACGUGAGCUGCGGCAGUGCGUUGAAACGCCGUGGUAAGCGAGAGAUCUACGACCCCUCAAGAGGAAGCAUCGAGGCGUUCAGCACGCAGUUCUGCUGCCUGCCGCAGGCUCCCCCUGCCCUCCCCUGCCCUCCCCUGCCCCGCACUCCUGCUUUUGCUGCUCCGUCCCCCGGCUGGUGUUUCCUCGGUGGCUGUCACCGCUUACCACCCAGGUACGCGCAGACCAUUUUCUUUCACCCACUGAUUUCCUGGUUUAUUUGAUUCUGAAAUAAUUGUGCUCAAGCAUUAGAAUAGUGUGAUUAAAAUUAUUUUUAAAGAGCUACAUGACUGCUCAGGGGCUUACAUAGAAGAAAUAAUGGGAUGAAUAAAUGGAUGACUGGUGGAUCUGAGUUUAAAACGCAAAAAAAGAACCAAGUUCCCUCUGUCAUAAAUGUGGGAUUUAGAAAGUCUUAUUUGAAGGUUUAUCUAAAGGGUAUAUGUUUGAUUAUGUCUGCAAUUUACAGAUUGAUCCCCAGUGUGAAGUUUUGCAGAGAAAAAGCUAUUAUUUUAGGGUCCAGGAAUAGUAAGCAGGGCUAGAUCCACCAGAACUAGGUGGAUUUUCAGCAUGGAGGGAGCCAGGCAGCACUUGCCCUUCAUCGGCAUUUGAAUGUGGGCUCUCAACUAGAAAAGAAACCCUGGAGGGCUGUCAGAGGAUUAUCUCCGCUGCUCUGCAGAAGUUCAGGGUAUUGCCACCAGAGCAGCGUGUGCCUCCGAUUUUAUACCAACUUAGCCAAGAUAAAAAUCAGGCUCAGUUCUCCCUGCCUCUGAAGGCAGCCUGAUAAAAUUAGCAGGAGUAAUUUUUUGUACAAAGUUCUUUUGAUAGCUUAGCAAAGGCCAGAAGAUUAAAUACAAGGAGGAGGACUUCAAGCCACGUUUUCUCUGUUGGUGUAAACAGGUAUCAGUACACUGAAACAAAUGGAAGUGCUCUUACUUUACACCACCUGAAGGCCUGACAAAUUCCCAUUUGUUUGAUGCUAUAAUGAAUAGCCAUUUCAUGGGUAUGAGAUGAGUUCAGGUACAAACCUUAGUUUUCAGUUUCCUGCCUGCCUCUGAAUAGCAACCAGCAUUAUUUCACUGCAGUUGUUUUAAAAAUUAACUUGUAAUGCAUUCUAGCCAAUCCUUCCUACUGAACGAUGAUUUUUUUUUUUAAUUUAAUUUUUGGUUUUUAGAUUGAUGUCCUCAUUGUAAUGCAUCUUCAUUCUGCUUUCCACUAAAAGCUCAAUAUUGUGACUUAUGUGGAAUUUUUAAUGGGCAGACUUCUCAUAUAAAUUUUGCAACUACCAGUAAUUAGACUCACCCGCGUGCAAUGCAGAGAGCAGGAACCUCUGUAGUCAUCAAAGGUGCAGAGUCAGGGAAAGAAGCAAAGCUUUGUUUUCCCAGUGAAGCAGAGGGAGCUGCCCCUGAGUUUGCUAUGCGUUAUUGCGAACAGCUUAGUGGCAAAGUUCCAUUAUUUCUGACCUUUCUGUCCGUAUUAUAGCACAACCGUUGCCAUUUGGGACAAUUCAAGGUACUUCAGAUAGUUCUGUAAUAGUCAGCAAACUGUUCUAGCAUCAUCAUUAGCAGUCUAUGCGGCUGGCAUGGAGUGAAGGCGAACACUUUGGGGCAAUUCUGAGCAAGAGUUCCUUCAGCAUCGUUUUCUUCUCCAGUAGUCUGAUGCCAAAUACGAAUUUCCGUUUAUUAUUGUACUGAGCAGCAUAAAACAUUUCUCAGGUUUUUGCUGCUAUCUUCCAAGAACGCAGAGAAGAGUACAUUCAUCUGAACCUAUAAUUUAUUGGUGUAAUGACCAGGAAUUAAAGACUGAGGAUAACUAGCAACAUCAAGCCUUUUUGAUCUUUAAAAAAUCUCCCAUUUUUUAAGGUUACUUGCUACGUGCUUUGCUGUAUCCAACAGACAUAAUUUCGGUCUCAGUUAACCUGCACUUUAGGUCAAAAGGAACAACAGAAAAAUUAAAAGAGUUCGACCAGCAAGAAAUAAUUGUGAGUUUCUUACAAAGUGGAUGAAAGAGAGCAAGAACUGCAGCUGUGGAGUCAGACUGUGGAGGCUUAAAGGGACUUUGGAAAUGGUGAAUUUUGCACGCCCAAAGCCUGCUGGGUCCUUAGGGGAAACCCCACACCAUUCCUGCAGCUUUCACAGGCUUGCCACGCACGAGAAGCUGUAGUGCCAACCCCACCUAUUUUUAGGGCAGUUCCAGCUCUCCAUCCUACCCAAGCCUCUCCUGGCAAACCCAUUCCUGUCUUGAACUCUCUUGCAUCAGUUUGCAUAGCGCAAUGCUGCUUUAUUUCGGAGCAGCAGUAAGAUAACUGGGUGCUGGUGCUGACACUGGUCUUGGGUGACACUGGGCAGGACAGAGACCUCACCUCAGAGCCAGGGUCCUGCAAACCCCCCAGGUCUGACGCAGCACAAAGUGGUGAAACCAAGUUGGUGCAGAAAGGCUGUGGGAAACGUGGGGAGAGACCCUGCUGCUGGCGAUUCUGGCAGUGAGCACCGCCAGCUUCUGCAGCCGAUGCGGCGAGGAGAGGAGAGGCAGGGCACGCGCCCCAGCAUCGCACGUCUUUGCUCCGCCGACCUGCCCGGGCUUUCUCGGUGCUCCCUGUCUCAAACUGCGUAUUACAUUUACCGUCCUUGUCUAACCUGAAAUUUCAUGAAUGAUCUUUUUGAUAAAUUUUACUUUUAAUGUUUUCUCCAUCCUGUUAGGAAACAUGUUGUUUACAGAUGAUUACGUUUUCUAAAUGACUGCAUUUUCUUCUUAGCCUUUAAGUGAAAUGCGUGGAAAAAUGUGUUUCUGUAGCCUUCAAGGGAAAUAAUGGGAAGUCCCUCCCUCCCCGUUCAAGACUGCUCUCAAAAAAAUACCCAGGUUUUAGCACUGGAUUUAUCUCAACAAUGCACAGUCAUUUAAAAGCUUCCUGAGCUGUUUGUACUUACAAGGAGCAUUUCUAAUGCAACUUUAGAGCACACAAAGUAAAUAUGUCUAGCUUGGCAGACGGCUUGAAGAAAACCUACUUAGUUCAAUCAUUAGGUCAAGCCGAAUAAAUUUCUGCCUUCCUCAAAGAAAAUUACUAGUGAAUGUCGAGGCUGAAGUGAUUUUAACUUCCUUGACAUGGAAGAUUUAGUUACAUCAAACAGUAAUGAACAGCUGAAAGAUGUAAUUUUGGUUAUAAAAGGAGUGCAGCAACUACAUGUUCAAAGACAAAAUAAUUCUUACUAUUCACUGCACCAUAAUAUUUAAAUACUUAUGGCAUUAAAUAUUAGUAAGACAUAUUUAGAGGCAGCUGAUGGCUCUGAAGCUUAGUCCCCACUCAGUCUGUCAGAUCCUUGAGUUUCAGAGGAAAAACUGUGCAGGAAAUCUGGUUCUUUGGUCGUGCUUUUCAUUGUGUUACAGAUCAGUAAAUGGCAGUAAAUGGAGCUCUGGCAAUGGGAAGGUCGCUGCAGGGCGUUUGGAAAUGAAAGGACUAUUUUGUGUCUCGUUUAGAGACUUCUCUUUAUUUAUUGGUGUGUGUUAUCCAGUGGCUGGGGUAAUGGGCCUCAGAAGAAAGUGUUGUUUAAGUAAAAUAGCUGUGGUUUGGGGGGGAAUAACUAAAUCAGAAGUUCUGAGAAGCAGCGGCCAUGUUCUCAGGCAUCUGAAAUGUAUCUACUACUAAGAGCAAAGCAAUUUUUUCUAAUUCCAAAAUCCCAGUUUGCAAGGAUGUUAAAUCAUCCUUGGGCUUAACACAAUAGUCUCUUGGCAACUGCAGAUGCUUAUCUUGAAAGAUUCAUUUUUACAACAGACUGAAUUCUCAGAAAAGAGGCCAAACAUAAAGAUGUUAGAAAUCAAAGCGAAAAUCCAAAAGGGUUUUGAGGCUUGAUUUAGUUAAGCAUCCAAAUGUUUGGCUAUGUAUUUGAAACUUAUUCAAGCUGCUUAAAUCUAGAAAACUGGUAAUAGGCUCUAUCCUCCCUGCUCUGUGACGGAAAGUCUUGGCACAUACAGUUCCAAAUUGCAUUGACCUUUUUUUGCUGCCAAAUUCUAUUGCAUUUUCAUUUCUAAUUUACUGUCCAAUCCAGCCCCAAGGUCUCUAGCUUUUACCGCCUUUCUAGGUUUCCAUUUCCUAUUCAAUAUGUGCUUUUCCCCCUUGCUUAAUAGUUUUCAUUUUUCGCCAGUUAAGUCUCAUCUUAUUACUCAAAAAUUUAGGGACCAAUACAUGAGGUCAGACUGACAAUCCAUCCAUUUUGUUAUUCUUUCUUCUGUAAUUUACCAGGUUCAGAUGCUUCAGAAGGCACAGAAAAAACACAGAAAUGGAUCAUUGUGGAAACCUUUGUCCAUAGGAAAAAUCCAUAGUGUAUUUCUGUGCUAAUGCAGAAGGGUUUAUAGCCUCUUCCCAGCUGAAAUAAGUGUUUCAUCUCAGCACCUAUGUACAAAUCUAUGUUUUUCUGAAUUCUAUUAAAUGUUCACUCUCAGUAAUAUCCAUUGGCAAUGAGUUCUACAGGUUUAUUCUGGAGGUUUAUUGGUUGUUUCUGCCUACAUUUGUAUUUCCUCUGAUGAUACUGAUAUUAUUUAUCUUUCUUGCUGGUUUGCUAAUUUUCCACACUAGUGUCACUUGUGAUUGUCAUUAAUAUGCUUCCUUUUGAGUGGGAAGGAGAAUGCUAUGUAAAAGGAAUUAUAAUACACAUUCUCCCUCUAAUUUUUAAAGUACAUUUGUGUAGAGUAUAUUUUUAAGGUAUAUUGUAAAGGCUUUUCUCUGAAAUCUGUGGUUGGAAUUACUGACCUCUUCCUUUCUGGCAGUUCUUUUGCAUUGCCAUCUUUUGGUAAGACCUGGCCCGGAUGGGCUGCGUGAGCCCCGCUUUUGGGCGGACGGCACCGAUGGUUCAGCGCCAGCCUCGCGGCCGGGUCAGACCCCACGUCCGCAGUUACCUGGCACUUUCUCUGUUUCCUUCUGCUUAUUUCUUUAUUUUAGCAUGCAAGGCUUGCCAGCCACGCUGGACUGGUGGGACCUUUGCAAAUCUUCUUGGCAGCACUUCCCAUCUUUCACUCGGCUUUCUUUCUCUGUAUUGGAUGCUUUUGAUUCGUGCUUGGGAUUUAUCGGUUUAAUUAAUCUAAUCUCUGCAGUAUCAUCCAUGCUAACUGAAAUAAUUCCUGACAAUGUUUUGUUGAUCCCUGUGAUUGCUGAAUGAGAGUGAAGCUAUGUGGCAGCAUAUGGCAGUAUUUCUUAUCUGUGGUGGCUAAGUUUAGCAUUUUAGAGGGUUUUUUUAGUCCUUUUUCUUUUAAUCAGAGUAGUCUAUUUGCUUAGAGAUUAGGCCAUUUUUGUGUGUUUCCUCAUUGAUAAAACUGUGCUUUUUAAUGUUCUGUAAAAUCCUAUUGUGUUCCCACAGACUUUUGCAGGAGCAAGCUUCACACACAAUAUCACAGGGCAUUGCUACAGUGAAAUGCACAGAAGUGGUGUGGUGCACAGGCUUUUUUUGAAGUAUUAAAAUUUGUUCUUUAUUUCUAAGCAUUUGCAGAAAGAACAAUGCUUUUUAAAUAAGUACAUGAUUGGAUUAAUCCAGGACUACCCUCAGUAAGGGCAAUGGUACAGUCUCAAGCCCUCAGUGGUCAUACGAACAGUGAUUUUAUAUUGGUAAUGUUUCUUUACUUAUAAACUGCCAGUGAGUUGAGAGUUGCGAUGGCAAUCCUGUCUUCCAAGGAUGCGCUGAAGUGUUUUGGAUCCCAGGGCCUGGUAUUUACGGAAGGUUUUUAUAGUACAGACUCAGCAGUUUGCACAGUUUGGUGAAUUCGUUUAGAGUAAUUAGUGUAACACCAGGCUGGAUUUGCAAGUCUGUUUAAGCCAUUCUACUUCGAGUAUAUCAAACUUUAAAACAUCUACAGUAAUAACAUUGAUUUUGUUUGGAUUAUUUCACGUGUUUUUCCAGCUCUACUGAAACAGUGGUGAGUAACUCAACGGUUGGUUGACACAGGUCCUGGUCAUUCCUUAGACUUGUGGACCAAGGGCCUGGCCGCAUCCUGCGUGGAUUCCAAGAUGGUCCCCUUGCCUCGGAAUCGAUGACUUCCCUGGCCCUGCUGAUGCAAAGGGAUGAUAACAAUUCUCCACCAAUCCCCAGCAGCCAGUAGUGUAAUAUACUGUGCUUCUCAUACCGUAAUGGAAAUCUGUACUGUCACUGUUGCAAUAUGUCAUGCUGUACCUGCAGACCAGUGGGUUUGCCUUCCUGUUAUCCUGAUUCUGGGGUAGUUAUUUAUGUUGGCAACAAAGGAGCCAAUCAAAAAUUUACUCCCAUUUGAUUUAUUUUUGACUUGCAAAACAGAGAAUCAGUCUGCAUAUUUUUAAUACAAUUUUUCUUCCCCAGGGAUGGGCCAGUUUUAUUCUACAUCUCUUCUCUGGGAUGUGCAGAAAGCCCUACAAUGCUAUCUGGAGACAUUGUGUGGCAGAAAUCGCCUCAAGAGAAUUUUCUUUUAUGCUUUAUCCCAAAAUGCUUAUAUGGCUGUUCACCGCUCUUCCAUCAUUUCUUAAAAGAAGCUUGUGCUCAUGUGGUGUCCUGUGAAUGUGACUUGCUGAACAGACCUCUGGUAAAUUUGCUGGGGUAAAGCUGAUUGCUGCCCUGGAGAAGAUCCAGACAGCGUGGGAGUGGCAUUCUGUUUUGUUUUCUGUAGAAAAAUUGUAAUUGCCUAGAUAUCAAUUAACCCUAUGAUACUGGCCUUCCCUUUUUGCAGUUUGUUCAUUUGAAAUCAUAGAUAGCUUCAUAGAUAGUAUGAAGAGAAGUUGGGGUUGGUUUUUUUUUUUUGCAAAUCCUGGUCUAGGUUCCCUGUUAAAUUUUUUUUUUUUUUUUUUCCUCCGGAAGUAAUUUUUACCCUUGUUCACCUAAAAUAAGUGACAAGAAGAUGGGUGAAGCUCUCCUGCCCCCUACGUGUGUUUUUAGGGAAGAAGUAGGGUGGCUUGACUGGUAGCUCUGAGUCAGUGUUGGUACCUUGUACUGGCCAGCUGAUUUGUACUGCUGAAUUGCCAUAUUUUUCUGGACAUCACCAGAAAUUGUGUUGCUUGUGCUCAUUAAAUCCUGAAUUUUUACAGGUAAGAUAAUUCAGCGUAGCUGAGCCAUGUCUUUUUUCUCAGACGUAGUCCACCCAGGUAGUCAUAUUCUCUCCUCUUCCACAAGCAGCUGGCACUAAUGCAGUCAGUUUUAUUGGUUGCAGUGGUAUUUAAGCAAUAGCCUAAAUAGCUGGGUGGUGCUUUGCUUCAGACCACUGAACUGUGGCCACUUUUUCGCUGGUGGGUGCCGUGAAGGUAUACUGGUACUCCUUGUCUGUGUAUUAGUUUUGAAUCAUACGAAUUCAAAGUUCUAAAAUUAACAUCUCCUUGUUUUUUCCUCACCAGUAGAACUGGCCAGAAGAAAGUGGAAAAGCGAUGGUUCAGGCUGCAGCCCGCGUCCCUGCCAGCCCAAGCCGCCAGCGCGGGCUCCGAGCACGGGGGGACUGGGCAGCGCAGGCCAGGCUCCGCGCGGGCAGGAGGUGGAGGAACGCAAAUUUGUGCCAGUACUGGAGGACUGAUCCGUACGACGCGGCUAAGUCCGGGCCUGUUAGCACAUCACUGACCCCAGGCACAAUAACGGAAUAGCUGAUAUGAGACUUGAUUAAUGAAUAAUUAAUUAGAAUGUAUUCUAAUUAGUGUCAAUCAACUUGCUGGUAUGGAAAAUAGGACCAGUAGAUAAGACUGACUCUUUUUUUUAAUGAGAUGACAAAUGUGGUAGAUGAGGAGAGUAUCGAUACACCAGCCGUCUGUGUGGCAUUUUCUUUGACAGCAGCGUGACGUCUGGGGAGGAACUGGGAUGCUGCUGGAGCGUCGCGCAUGCCGGACCAUCAGGCGGCCGUCACCUCUGCAGAGGGCUCGGCCGGCACCCUCCGUGCCCGCAGGGAUGGGCAGUCGGGGAAGGUGCGGGCUGCUCGGGUCCGGCUGCUGUGGAAACCCUCCGCUGAGCUGUGGUGGAUGUGCGUGGGGAGAGGGACCGUGCGGGGAAGAGGGACCGCACAGAGCGAUCACGCAAGGCGGUGGGGAGCGGCAGGGUGAGGGCCAGGAGAAGAAGCCAGGCACCGACGGGCUCGAAGGAGUCAGCCUGCUGAUUUCAAUAAUGAGAUGGGCAAGGCAUGAUUUGAUCCCAGCCUGUGAGUAUGAACACAGGGAGCAGAAGUUUGGUAACAGAAAGCUUUUAAAUUGAGUGGAUGGGGAUAUAAGGAGAUGUAAAGCUGGAGGCUGAGAUAAACGCACAUUAUAUGUAUGGCGAGGGUAAUUUGGUAACGGGGGCAUCCUGCCAGAGCUGAUGGCCGACUCCUCAUUGCCAAAAUGUCUUAAUGGAGAUCGGUUUGUGGUUUUCUGAGAGGGUGCUCUACUUGGAAAGGAAUUAAUCCUGGAAAGUUUUAUGCCCAUGCCACAGCGGAUGCUCACAACAGCCCUUCCUGGCUGCGGACCCACAAUUACUUGCUCCAAUUAAUUUCACUGGAAGCAGGAUCAGACCCUCACCCAGCCGAUGGCGGUCGCGGCGCUGUGGCACAUGGGCGAGCGGCACUGGUGUCUGUGGCUCUGCGGCUAAUCAACACGUCCGCUAAAGUGGAUUUGAUUUUGAGAAGUCUUAUGGACCCCAAUAAAGAUCAGUAAUCAUUAAAAUUAACCACACGCUGAUUUAAUCAACAUAUAGCUUUGUUAAUUACUAGCUCUUUCUUCGUGUCCAUCUGUUUUAAAGAUUUUAGUGAACCUGCAGCAGAUGUUCAUGUAAAUAUAAUAAGCCGGUUGCCAUGCAAAUAUAAAAUUUUCAGGA
Long non-coding RNA from Aquila chrysaetos chrysaetos, 11052 nucleotides. RefSeq lists it as uncharacterized. Lineage: Eukaryota; Metazoa; Chordata; Aves; Accipitriformes; Accipitridae. The transcript is spliced from 5 exons. The record is from RefSeq and is a predicted model, not a curated record.